GCAAGGCUGUCAUCAUCAUCAUCAGUAGCAGCAGCAGCAGCAGCCUGGUUACGCCUACUGCAGUGCAAGGCCUCUCUCAUACUUCUCCAACAAGGCUGGCAAGGCUGUGCAAGCCAGCUAGUAUGUCGUGAGGAAUGGCAUUGGUUACUUGAACGCGGUGGUUUCGUCCUAGAUUUUUUUUAUUUUUGUUUCCUUGCGUGUUUCUUCAAAGGGUGGCAUGUGGUUCACUUUAAAUUUUGCGUGAACUAGCACGCUGCAUUCGUUGGCGAAAGGUGUGAGGGCAGGUCUUCUGUUAUCGUGCACGUUCACGCUACGGCAUCCGACGCGCUUGUUUUGUCGUGACGAUAAAUGCGGAGCGCCCCAUGAAGAAACGUCGCGCUAUGUUCAUUUACGCUCAGUAACACAGGCACUGAGUGUCCGAUGGGCAGCAAAAUCGAUAAAGCCAUAAAAAAGUUGGCCGGUAUAAAUAGCGUCGUUGUCAUCCAGUUCGCAUUCCAUUAUCGUCUUCAUAGUGGAGCACAGCACGCAGUGCAAGAGGUGCCUUGACUUCUGCGUCGGGUUUUGCGAACGCGCCACGCCGACUUGCCGUCUGCCAUCCGUCGAAGCUCUGCUACGCAUUCGAAGUCUGGUCUUUCUCUUGCUGAGGAUUCCAUGGCCGAGUUCAACAGGGCCUCUGGUGUGUUCGCGACUCACCUCCUGCGCGGACGUGGUGCCAGGUGGUCCAGUGGCGGCAACGACCAACGGUCCCGUGGCCAAGACACCGGGGACGAGAGGGGGAUACCCAUGGCCUCAAUAGGGUACGUGCCAUCGUCAGGUACACCACCGCCCUCAUACCGUGAGGUGGUGCUCGCCGUCCCCGCCGAGCAGCAUUUCAGCUCAGAUGAAUUGGUCCUAGCUGCAAGACACCUCGGCCACAUCCGCCAGUUGCAGCGGGAGCGGUUCCCCGAGCGUGAAGGGCGAUGGGUAGAUAGAGACGAACAGGCGUCCCGGAGGCACUAUGGCUGGGACAGAUGGUAUCGGCGGAGCUACAUGCAGUGGAAGCAGCACUACAGCUGUAUGUGGGUGUUGACCAUUGUUUUGACGAUCAUUUUCAUUGUGUUUGUGAUAGUGACGCACUUUAUUUACGACGGCCUGCAUGCGGCGACGAAGAAUUUGCCGUAUGAGACGCGCACCUGAAUCCUGGAAGCUGGACCGAGUGCGUGUUAACGCGCCUACCGUAGACGGGAAGGGCAUGACAACAUGCUUAGGGCAUUACUGGCAGGCGGGUUUUUGCCGAAUGAUGUCGUAAUAACGCGCCGGUAUCUAAUGUGAACAUGAAGGAAUAAUUGUAUUGCACCUCGAGUGCUUAAUUUCUUGAGAUUGCUGCGAGUGAUUGCGGCGACGCUUACACGGGAGUGCUAUGGCCCCAAAACUACUGCCCGUUAAUGUUUAACACCAGCUUUCUGCAUAAUGAUGAUGACCUACGCACGACUUCUAGUUGCUUUGCCCGUGUCGGUGCUUCGUUCCGGCGCAACGGCACUUCACGCUACCAUGUGCUUGUUGCUUCUUUUCACUCAGAUAAAGAAACCGCGUUAACUCGUACUGCGUCGCCGUUCAAGUCAUCAAAAUAAGUCCUAGCUUCAUUUUUCAUUUUUAAUGAGUUGUGGUAAAAAUGCCUGCCAACGUAAAUACAUUUGCCGAAAAGUAGUAAAAGAAAAAAAGGAAGCAUCCCAGGUUGCAUCACCCCAAUGCUUAGUGCUGUCUAUUUCGUAACGUUGGUACUUGUGUUUCAGAACUGACGUGUUCCGUACAGUAUGAGCAUUUUAUAGAACUGAUAUGCAUUUUAUAUUGUCCAGUUCAUUUUUAACGGGUCUGUGGACGCCGCACAAGACUGAAAUAAACUGUGCCCAGUUUUCUUGUU
Molecule: long non-coding RNA, 1900 nt
Organism: Dermacentor albipictus
Lineage: Eukaryota; Metazoa; Arthropoda; Arachnida; Ixodida; Ixodidae
Source: RefSeq, a predicted model, not a curated record